This 268-nucleotide signal recognition particle RNA is filed under the name Clostridia bacterium. RNAcentral's name for it is "signal recognition particle sRNA large type". It matches the Rfam family "Bacterial large signal recognition particle RNA". From Rfam's summary of the family: The signal recognition particle (SRP) is a universally conserved ribonucleoprotein involved in the co-translational targeting of proteins to membranes. Archaeal SRP consists of a 7S RNA and homologues of the eukaryotic SRP19 and SRP54 proteins. The record is from RNAcentral. Lineage: Bacteria; Bacillati; Bacillota; Clostridia.
CCGUGCUAAACGGGGAGUUGGCGGUGCCCUUUUCCUGCAAUCCGCCGCAGCAGGGUCUAAUCCCCGCCCCGAGGCAAGUGUUUGCGAGGCAUGGAGCCGAUAAGGAGUGUUGAUAUUCGGGUCCCGUUCAAUCGAUCACCGUGAACCAUGUCAGGUCCUGACGGAAGCAGCAUUAAGCGGAAAGUUCGGUGUGAAGCGGGUCUGCCUGAAAGGAGCCGCCUGUCGGCAUACCUCUCGGGGGCGUUUUUGUCGAAGGGCGGGUGCACGG